AAUGGGCGAAAGCCUGAUGCAGCGACGCCGCGUGAGGGAUGAAGGCCUUCGGGUUGUAAACCUCUUUCAGUAGGGAAGAAGCGCAAGCGACGGUACCUACAGAAGAAGCACCGGCUAACUACGUGCCAGCAGCCGCGGUAAUACGUAGGGUGCGAGCGUUGUCCGGAAUUAUUGGGCGUAAAGAGCUUGUAGGCGGUUUGUCGCGUCUGCCGUGAAAAUCCGGGGCUCAACUCCGGACUUGCGGUGGGUACGGGCAGACUAGAGUGUGGUAGGGGAGACUGGAAUUCCUGGUGUAGCGGUGAAAUGCGCAGAUAUCAGGAGGAACACCGAUGGCGAAGGCAGGUCUCUGGGCCACUACUGACGCUGAGAAGCGAAAGCGUGGGGAGCGAA
Molecule: ribosomal RNA, 390 nt
Filed under: uncultured bacterium
Lineage: Bacteria
Description: bacterial SSU rRNA
Rfam family: Bacterial small subunit ribosomal RNA
Source: RNAcentral